RNAcentral lists this ribosomal RNA (236 nucleotides) under uncultured bacterium. RNAcentral describes it as "partial 16S ribosomal RNA". It matches the Rfam family "Bacterial small subunit ribosomal RNA", at positions 8 to 236 of the family's 1533-position model. The record is from RNAcentral.
AGAGUUUGAUCCUGGCUCAGGAUAAACGCUGGCGGCGCACAUAAGACAUGCAAGUCGAACGAACUUAACCAUUAGUUUACUAUUGAGCGGUUAGUGGCGGACUGGUGAGUAACACGUAAGCAACCUGCCUAUCAGAGGGGAACGAACAGUUAGAGAUGACUGCUAAUACCGCAUAUGCCUUAGAAUCACAUGGUUCAAAAGGGAAAGGAGCAAUCCACUGAUAGAUGGGCUUGCGU